UCGCCUGAAUGAUACGAUACAAAGUCUUUGUGUUCAGUAAAACCGUUUUAAUUCUCUUUCAGAUUGAGUGAACAUUACUUUCUGCUCUGAGAGACUUUAGUGAGUCGUUUUAUCGUGAUCCACAAUGACGGUAAGCACAAAAACACAGUUUCAAUGUUUUUAUAGCAGCGAGAGCCAAAGGACUGUGUUGUUUCAGCCUGUGGUGCUGCUCCUGUUUCUGGCUCCUCUGUUGAGCUGCUGCAGAGCGGAGGACAAACCUGUCGACUGCAGCGACAUCUUUAAACAAAACCCAAGCAGCGCCAGCGGAGUCUACUCCAUCUAUCCGUUCAGUGAGAGAUUCUCUGUCCAGGCCUAUUGUGACAGGGAAACAGACGGAGGAGGUUGGACAGUGAGUAUUUUCACUAAACUUUAGACCAGUUUGGACCAGGGAACUAGGUGGUGCUCACAUCCUAAAAUUACCAA
Molecule: long non-coding RNA, 462 nt
Filed under: Neogobius melanostomus (round goby)
Lineage: Eukaryota; Metazoa; Chordata; Actinopteri; Gobiiformes; Gobiidae
Description: lncRNA (ENSNMLG00000018496.1)
Source: RNAcentral